CGCGUAGGCGGACUAUUAAGUCAGGGGUGAAAUCCCGGGGCUCAACCCCGGAACUGCCUUUGAUACUGGUAGUCUAGAGUUCGAGAGAGGUGAGUGGAAUUCCGAGUGUAGAGGUGAAAUUCGUAGAUAUUCGGAGGAACACCAGUGGCGAAGGCGGCUCACUGGCUCGAUACUGACGCUGAGGUGCGAAAGUGUGGGGAGCAAACA
RNAcentral lists this ribosomal RNA (207 nucleotides) under uncultured bacterium. RNAcentral describes it as "partial 16S ribosomal RNA". It matches the Rfam family "Bacterial small subunit ribosomal RNA", at positions 568 to 774 of the family's 1533-position model. The record is from RNAcentral.